RNAcentral lists this ribosomal RNA (210 nucleotides) under uncultured bacterium. Its description in RNAcentral is "partial 16S ribosomal RNA". It matches the Rfam family "Bacterial small subunit ribosomal RNA", at positions 592 to 793 of the family's 1533-position model. The record is from RNAcentral.
AUGUGAAAGACCCGGGGCGUCAACCUCGGAAUUGCAUUUGUAAACUAGGCAAACUAGAGUACUGUAGAGGGGGGUAGGAAUUUCAGGUGUAGCGGUGAAAUGCGUAGAGAUCUGAAGGAAUACCGGUGGCGAAGGCGGCCCCCCUCGGACAGAUACUGACACUCAGAUGCGAAAGCGUGGGGAGCAAACAGGAUUAGAUACCCCUGGUAG